CGACGCGAGCGGUUGCAUGUAGCGGACAAACGUCUAAAAAAAGAAAAUAAGUAGUAAAACAAAAGAAAACAUUACAACAACAAAAAGUGUUUAAUACAAAGUGUAAAGUGAGAUUUCCGAGCAGUUAAGUGUAAAAACGUCGAUUUAUCUUAUAUGUAUGUGCAUACAUACAUACGUCUAUAUGUAAGGUGAAACAAUAAGUAAAAUAGAAAAGAAUUCCAAGUGAAAAUCGAGAAACGAAGCCGAAGAGUUGAUGUGUUCUUCUUCUAAGCCAACAGUGCAAUUUACUUACAUACAUAUAUAUGUACAUAAAAAGCAAUAAAGAAAAGGCAAAUAAAAAGUGAAGAAAAAACUGCGCGCUAAAGAAAAACCAAAA
Molecule: long non-coding RNA, 376 nt
Organism: Ceratitis capitata (Mediterranean fruit fly)
Lineage: Eukaryota; Metazoa; Arthropoda; Insecta; Diptera; Tephritidae
Exons: 2
Source: RefSeq, a predicted model, not a curated record